UACGUAGGUGGCAAGCGUUGUCCGGAAUUAUUGGGCGUAAAGCGCGCGCAGGCGGUCCUUUAAGUCUGAUGUGAAAGCCCACGGCUCAACCGUGGAGGGUCAUUGGAAACUGGGGGACUUGAGUGCAGAAGAGGAAAGCGGAAUUCCACGUGUAGCGGUGAAAUGCGUAGAUAUCAAGAGGAACACCGGUGGCGAAGGCGGCUCUCUGGUCCAAUCCUGACGCUGAGGUGCGAAAGCUAGGGGAGCAAACGGG
This 253-nucleotide ribosomal RNA is filed under the name uncultured bacterium. RNAcentral describes it as "partial 16S ribosomal RNA". It matches the Rfam family "Bacterial small subunit ribosomal RNA", at positions 524 to 776 of the family's 1533-position model. The record is from RNAcentral.